CUGUUGUCAGACCCCAAACAAUCUCCUUCAGCUGAUCAUGUCCUGCUGAUGAAAAGCAACUGCUGACUAAAAUCCUUCCCUGUGCAUCUCCAGAGUCUUCCUGUGACCUCGGGGAGUGGGUCUGGGCCUGGAACGGCCCUGUGGAAUGUCAGAGAAGACACCUUGUUUCUUUGCUCUGCUAUACAGAAUGCAGGUAACCAGAAAAGGUCCAGCACACCAUUAAAUUUGCAUUA
Molecule: long non-coding RNA, 233 nt
Filed under: Sus scrofa (pig)
Lineage: Eukaryota; Metazoa; Chordata; Mammalia; Artiodactyla; Suidae
Description: lncRNA (ENSSSCG00070001171.1)
Source: RNAcentral